This 497-nucleotide ribosomal RNA is filed under the name uncultured bacterium. Its description in RNAcentral is "partial 16S ribosomal RNA". It matches the Rfam family "Bacterial small subunit ribosomal RNA", at positions 28 to 507 of the family's 1533-position model. The record is from RNAcentral.
GAUGAACGCUGGCGGCGUGCCUAAUACAUGCAAGUCGAGCGAACGGACGAGAAGCUUGCUUCUCUGAUGUUAGCGGCGGACGGGUGAGUAACACGUGGAUAACCUACCUAUAAGACUGGGAUAACUUCGGGAAACCGUAGCUAAUACCGGAUAAUAUUUUGAACCGCAUGGUUCAAAAGUGAAAGACGGUCUUGCUGUCACUUAUAGAUGGAUCCGCGCUGCGUUAGCUAGUUGGUAAGGUAACGGCUUACCAAGGCAACGAUGCAUAGCCGACCUGAGAGGGGGAUCGGCCACACUGGAACUGAGACACGGUCCAGACUCCUACGGGAGGCAGCAGUAGGGAAUCUUCCGCAAUGGGCGAAAGCCUGACGGAGCAACGCCGCGUGAGUGAUGAAGGUCUUCGGAUCGUAAAACUCUGUUAUUAGGGAAGAACAUAUGUGUAAGUAACUGUGCACAUCUUGACGGUACCUAAUCAGAAAGCCACGGCUAACUACGUG